AUGCAGAGCAAAAAUGCUGCUGUCAUUGGUGCCUCCACCACCACGGGCACGGUGUGCAUCACAUUGACCUGUCACCUCUCUCUGUUGCUCAGAGAUGUGGUGAUGCUCCAUCCCUGCAGACAGCCGAGGUCAGGCUGGAUGGGCUCCAAGCACCUGGUGGAGCUGUGGGUGCUCCAUUUCAUCACACAGGGGAAUGGGACCAAGCGGCCUUUAAAGGUCCCUCCAACCUCGAGCCGUUCUGUGAUGCCACGAAGGGGGAUUUCCCUCACAGGAUCACAGACUUCGUGCCGUCGACGGUGUUCUCCUCCCGCAGCGCUGCGGGGCCGGGCGGUGCAGCGGCUGCCGCGGCCACACGGUGGUAGGAGAAGCCCCGGCAGCGCUGCGGGCUCCGCUCCGCUCUGCUCCAUUCCCCCCCUGCCCGCAGCCCCGGCCGCAGCUGUGACGAACGGAGAGCACAAAACUCUUGUACGAAGGGCUGAGGAACCGGCCAGCACCAGUGCGAGGUGCCGAAUUGCCACAGCUCGGGAGUUGCGUUCACUGAAGUCUGAGGGUCCUGGACUCCCUGUUCUGCAGAAAAAUAAAUACCCCCUUGGCGUGUUUGUGGCAUUGGUUUCUUACUGCAAACACAAGGCUGGAUGGGAAAGGAAGGGAGGACUGAGUUGGUGCUGUUGAAUGCAGGUAAGAGUACUUCCCCAUCACCCAUCCCACCUCCCCCAUCCCAGCCAUCGGCACUGGGAGGACCUGAGCUUCGGGAUGCCCACUGCAGUGAUGAUGACCACACUGCACCAUGGGAUGACAGUUGUUUUUCUUCCCUAGAGCUUGUGUGGCUGCACCGGCGUCUCUGACAGCAUAAUCUCCUGCUUGGUGUCAUCAUUAUGGAAACAAGCUGUAAAUCUCCCCUUGAUGUUAUGUAGAUCCGGGAUCGCUUGCCUCUCGGGAACAGCCACUGUUAAGAAAUAGGGUGUUGAACAUAAAGAUUGCAAGCACUAAUUUUGGGAAGGAGCUGCCUUAGCACCAAGAGCCACUGGUGAUGCUGGGGCUCAGCAUGGGGUUGGCUCCCAGCUCUGGGCGCUCCCCACACCAAAUCCUCUUUUCCCCUUCUCAUCCCCUUGCAGAGCCAUAGAGCAGCAGGAGGGGAGAAUAGUGCAGAGCUGGGAGGGGGGCCGGGCAGCACAAGCUGCUGUUUGGAUAUUUUCAUCUCCGUUUUGCUGACCCACGGACACCUUUGCUCCCAGCCCUGUCAUUUUCACACCUGCUCCCAUUUAAUUCUGCACAUCCCAGCCAGCUCUGCGGGUCGCUGCGUUUCGGGCUCUCCUGCUCCCUGUGCCUCCACUCACCCUCCAUGAGCCCUUUAAUCUCUGGGAAUUUACUUUUUUUUCCCUCUGACAUCUCUGAGUCUCUUGUGAAAUGCAAAUUAAUUAGAUUCUAAUUACUCACUGUGUGCUGUUUCUGUUUCACUCUCUUGUUAGGUUAGUCUAACAUCUUUGUUGUCAGCUGUAUGUUGUAUGUAUUCAGCCCAUUAAAAGUGAUCCUUGUUCAGCGGGAGACAGGCAGAGCAAAGAGACAGUUCCCCCCUCCCGCUGGGGCUUUGUCAGGAGCAGCUUUGUCAGCACUUCCCGGCAGCAUCGCAAAGGCAAACCUUGCCUUUUUUCCUUCCAAUUGUUCAUUUUCC
Molecule: long non-coding RNA, 1672 nt
Filed under: Phasianus colchicus (ring-necked pheasant)
Lineage: Eukaryota; Metazoa; Chordata; Aves; Galliformes; Phasianidae
Description: lncRNA (ENSPCLG00000005414.1)
Source: RNAcentral